UACAGAGGUCUCAAGCGUUGUUCGGAUUCAUUGGGCGUAAAGGGUGCGUAGGUGGCGGGGUAAGUCUGGUGUGAAAUCUCGGGGCUCAACCCCGAAACUGCACUGGAUACUGCCUUGCUCGAGUACUGGAGAGGAGAUUGGAAUUUACGGUGUAGCAGUGAAAUGCGUAGAUAUCGUAAGGAAGACCAGUGGCGAAGGCGAAUCUCUGGACAGUUACUGACGCUGAGGCACGAAGGUCAGGGGAGCAAACGGG
RNAcentral lists this ribosomal RNA (253 nucleotides) under uncultured bacterium. RNAcentral describes it as "partial 16S ribosomal RNA". It matches the Rfam family "Bacterial small subunit ribosomal RNA", at positions 524 to 776 of the family's 1533-position model. The record is from RNAcentral.